AACGGCCGUACCAUGCUGAAUAUACCGGUUCUCGUUAGAUCACCGAAGUUAAGCAUCAUUGGGCGCGGUCAGUACUUGUACCACCUGGGAACACUGCGUGCUGUUG
This is a non-coding RNA of Caerostris darwini, 106 nucleotides long. Lineage: Eukaryota; Metazoa; Arthropoda; Arachnida; Araneae; Araneidae. The record is from the annotation of a GenBank genome assembly.